GCAUAUCAAUAAGCGGAGGAAAAGAAACCAACCGGGAUUGCCUCAGUAACGGCGAGUGAAGCGGCAAGAGCUCAAAUUUGAAAUCUGGCCCCCCUGGGGGUCCGAGUUGUAAUUUGGAGAGGAUGCUUCGGGUACGGUGCCCAUCUAAGUGCCCUGGAACGGGCGGUCAUAGAGGGUGAGAAUCCCGUAUGGGAUGGGCGGCCGUGCCCGUGUGAAGCUCCUUCGACGAGUCGAGUUGUUUGGGAAUGCAGCUCUAAGCGGGUGGUAAAUUUCAUCUAAAGCUAAAUACUGGCCGGAGACCGAUAGCGCACAAGUAGAGUGAUCGAAAGAUGAAAAGCACUUUGAAAAGAGAGUUAAACAGCACGUGAAAUUGUUGAAAGGGAAGCGUUGGCCACCAGACGCGCCCGGGAGGGUUCAGCCGGCACUUGUGCCGGUGUACUCCCCCCCGGGUGGGCCAGCAUCGGUUUGGGCGGUCGCUGAAAGGCCCCGGGAAUGUAGCACCCUCCGGGGUGCCUUAUAGCCCGGGGUGUCAUGCGGCCCGCCUGGACCGAGGCCCGCGCUUCGGCGAGGAUGCUGGCGUAAUGGUGGUCAACGGCCCGUCUUGAAACACGGACCAAGGAGUCUAACAUCUAUGCGAGUGUUCGGGUGUCAAACCCGUCCGCGCAGUGAAAGCGAACGCAGGUGGGAACCCCUCCCGGGGUGCACCAUCGACCGAUCCUGAUGUCUUCGGAUGGAUUUGAGUAAGAGCAUAGCUGUUGGGACCCGAAAGAUGGUGAACUAUGCCUGAAUAGGGCGAAGCCAGAGGAAACUCUGGUGGAGGCUCGCAGCGGUUCUGACGUGCAAAUCGAUCGUCAAAUUUGGGUAUAGGGGCGAAAGACUAAUCGAACCAUCUGGUAGCUGGUUCCUGCCGAA
RNAcentral lists this ribosomal RNA (912 nucleotides) under Talaromyces minioluteus. Its description in RNAcentral is "LSU rRNA". It matches the Rfam family "Eukaryotic large subunit ribosomal RNA", at positions 38 to 965 of the family's 3401-position model. Lineage: Eukaryota; Fungi; Ascomycota; Eurotiomycetes; Eurotiales; Trichocomaceae. The record is from RNAcentral.